This is an unclassified non-coding RNA of Pongo abelii (Sumatran orangutan), 147 nucleotides long. It matches the Rfam family "Metazoan signal recognition particle RNA". From Rfam's summary of the family: The signal recognition particle (SRP) is a universally conserved ribonucleoprotein. It is involved in the co-translational targeting of proteins to membranes. The record is from Ensembl. NCBI's taxonomy places the organism in Eukaryota, Metazoa, Chordata, Mammalia, Primates, Hominidae.
GCCGGGUAUGGUGGCGUGUGCCUGUAAUUCCAGCUACACGGAGGCUGAGGCAUGAGAAUUGCUUGAACCCAGGAGGCGGAGGUUGCAGUGAGCCGAGAUCAUGCCACUGCAUUCCAGCCUGGGUGAUAGAGCAAGACUCUGUCUCAA